Molecule: ribosomal RNA, 229 nt
Filed under: uncultured bacterium
Lineage: Bacteria
Description: partial 16S ribosomal RNA
Rfam family: Bacterial small subunit ribosomal RNA
Source: RNAcentral
UGCGUAGGCGGAUUAAUAAGUCAGUGGUGAAAUCUUUCGGCUCAACCGAGAAACUGCCAUUGAUACUGUUAAUCUUGAGUUCGGUUGAGGUAGGCGGAAUGUGUAAUGUAGCGGUGAAAUGCUUAGAUAUUACACAGAACACCAAUUGCGUAGGCAGCUUACUAGACCGACACUGACGCUGAGGCACGAAAGCGUGGGGGGCGAACAGGAUUAGAUACCCUGGUAGUCC